AUGGCUCAGAGUGAACGCUGGCGGCGUGCCUAACACAUGCAAGUCGUGCGAGAAAGGGAGCAAUCCUGAGUAAAGCGGCGAACGGGUGAGUAACACGUGGUUAACCUGCCUGGAUGUGGGGGAUACCCCCGGGGAAACCCGGGACAAUACCGCAUGAUGUCUCUCGGGCGUCGGCCUGGGAGAGCAAAGCCGGGGACCGCAAGGCCUGGCGCAUCCAAAGGGGGACCGCGGCCGAUUAGCUAGUUGGCGGGUAAUGGCCCACCAAGGCAUCGAUCGGUAGCCGGCCUGAGAGGGUGAACGGCCACACCGGAACUGAGACACGGUCCGGACUCCUACGGGAGGCAGCAGUGGGGAAUUUUGGACAAUGGGCGCAGGCCUGAUCCAGCCAUGCCGCGUGAGUGAAGAAGGCCUUCGGGUUGUAAAGCUCUUUCGGUGGGGAAGAAAUUGCAUGGGCUAAUACCCUGUGUAGAUGACGGUACCUGGAGAAGAAGCACCGGCUAACUACGUG
This 508-nucleotide ribosomal RNA is filed under the name uncultured bacterium. Its description in RNAcentral is "bacterial SSU rRNA". It matches the Rfam family "Bacterial small subunit ribosomal RNA", at positions 19 to 507 of the family's 1533-position model. The record is from RNAcentral.